Molecule: transfer RNA, 80 nt
Filed under: marine eukaryotic metagenome
Rfam family: tRNA
About the family: Transfer RNA (tRNA) molecules are approximately 80 nucleotides in length. Their secondary structure includes four short double-helical elements and three loops (D, anti-codon, and T loops). Further hydrogen bonds mediate the characteristic L-shaped molecular structure. tRNAs have two regions of fundamental functional importance: the anti-codon, which is responsible for specific mRNA codon recognition, and the 3' end, to which the tRNAs corresponding amino acid is attached (by aminoacyl-tRNA synthetases). tRNAs cope with the degeneracy of the genetic code in two manners: having more than one tRNA (with a specific anti-codon) for a particular amino acid; and 'wobble' base-pairing, i.e. permitting non-standard base-pairing at the 3rd anti-codon position.
Source: RNAcentral
GAGGGUUAGCCUAAUUGGUAAGGCACCGGAUUUGAAAUCCGGCGGGCUCUGCCCUUGGGGGUUCGAGUCCCUCACCCUCC